Molecule: ribosomal RNA, 387 nt
Filed under: uncultured bacterium
Lineage: Bacteria
Description: bacterial SSU rRNA
Rfam family: Bacterial small subunit ribosomal RNA
Source: RNAcentral
GACGAACGCUGGCGGCGUGCUUAACACAUGCAAGUCGAGCGGUAAGGCCCUUUCGGGGGUACACGAGCGGCGAACGGGUGAGUAACACGUGGGUGACCUGCCUUUAGCUCUGGGAUAAGCCUGGGAAACCGGGUCUAAUACCGGAUAUGACUCCGCGGCGCAUGUUGUGGGGUGGAAAGCCUUGUGCGGCUGGAGAUGGGCCCGCGGCCUAUCAGCUUGUUGGUGGGGUGAUGGCCUACCAAGGCGACGACGGUAGCCGGCCUGAGAGGGCGACCGGCCACACUGGGACUGAGACACGGCCCAGACUCCUACGGGAGGCAGCAGUGGGGAAUCUUGCGCAAUGGGCGAAAGCCUGACGCAGCGACGCCGCGUGAGGGAUGACGGCCU